UAGGCCUGAUAUAAAAUGCGUGAACUGAUACGGUGUUAGCACUGGACUUAUACAGGUCAGCGUUACAGAUAACAAUCGAAAUCUACCUUACGGACAAAACCUCUACAGCACGAAAAUGAAUGCAAUGGUGGUGCUAUUUGUUGGGCUGGUAUGCCUCUUUCUGGCUUCUGACGUCACCGCCUAUUACUGCCACUGGUGUAACGAAGAUUUAAGGACAUGCAAACGGUCUUGUCGUGGUGGGAGGAAUGGAAGACAUGGGAGAAAUAACCGUCAUAGCUCCAAGUGCCAGCUACCUUGCUAUCAAGAGGCAGUUUACUGUCUGAACAUGUGCGAUACCCAAGUCCCUUUCGCUAUGUCACAUCUAGAUACAGAGGACAGGCAGGCUGGCUCGUCAUUACAAAUGAAGGAAAGGCAGCGAUCAGGAUAGAUUAAAAGUAUCUCCAAAAUUGGUCUAUAAAUAACCAUAGAUAGAUCUCCUGCAAUUCCGAUAUGAUUAAAAAAUAAAGUUUUCAAGAUCAGAUCAAGAA
Molecule: long non-coding RNA, 527 nt
Organism: Pecten maximus
Lineage: Eukaryota; Metazoa; Mollusca; Bivalvia; Pectinida; Pectinidae
Exons: 3
Source: RefSeq, a predicted model, not a curated record